RNAcentral lists this ribosomal RNA (928 nucleotides) under uncultured bacterium. Its description in RNAcentral is "bacterial SSU rRNA". It matches the Rfam family "Bacterial small subunit ribosomal RNA", at positions 8 to 934 of the family's 1533-position model. The record is from RNAcentral. RNAcentral also lists the same sequence under 1 other name.
AGGGUUUGAUCCUGGCUCAGGAUGAACGCUAGCGGCAGGCCUAAUACAUGCAAGUCGAGGGGCAGCAGGAGUAGCAAUACUCGCUGGCGACCGGCGCACGGGUGCGUAACACGUAUACAAUCUGCCUUUAACAGGGGGAUAGCCCGGAGAAAUCCGGAUUAAUACCCCAUAACACAAGAAGUAGCAUUACUUUUUGUUGAAAGCUCCGGCGGUUAGAGAUGAGUAUGCGUCUGAUUAGCUAGUUGGUGAGGUAACGGCUCACCAAGGCGACGAUCAGUAGGGGAUCUGAGAGGACUACCCCCCACACGGAUACUGAGACACGGAUCCGACUCCUACGGGAGGCAGCAGUAAGGAAUAUUGGACAAUGCCCGCAAGGGUGAUCCAGCCAUGCCGCGUGCAGGAAGACGGCCCUAUGGGUUGUAAACUGCUUUUACACCGGAGAAAACCCCCUUACGUGUAAGGGGCUGAUAGUAUGGUGAGAAUAAGCAUCGGCUAACUUCGUGCCAGCAGCCGCGGUAAGACGAAGGAUGCAAGCGUUAUCCGGAUUCAUUGGGUUUAAAGGGAGCGUAGGUGGCCUUAUAAGUCAGUGGUGAAAUCUCUGGGCUUAACCCAGAAAUUGCCAUUGAUACUGUAGGGCUUGAGUAUAGAUGCCGUUGGCGGAAUAUGACAUGUAGUGGUGAAAUACAUAGAGAUGUCAUAGAACACCGAUUGCGAAGGCAGCUAACGAAACUAUAACUGACACUGAGGCUCGAAAGUGUGGGGAUCAAACAGGAUUAGAUACCCUGGUAGUCCACACUGUAAACGAUGAUUACUCGCUGCUAGAGGGCAACUUUUAGUGGCUUAGCGAAAGCGAUAAGUAAUCCACCUGGGGAGUACGCCCGGCAACGGUGAAACUCAAAGGAAUUGACGGGGGCCCGCACAAGCGGAG